RNAcentral lists this transfer RNA (74 nucleotides) under Prevotella sp. RNAcentral describes it as "tRNA-Phe". It matches the Rfam family "tRNA". Rfam says of the family: Transfer RNA (tRNA) molecules are approximately 80 nucleotides in length. Their secondary structure includes four short double-helical elements and three loops (D, anti-codon, and T loops). The record is from RNAcentral. Lineage: Bacteria; Pseudomonadati; Bacteroidota; Bacteroidia; Bacteroidales; Prevotellaceae.
GGACGGAUCGUAGAACGGUAAUACUCCUGAUUGAAGCUCAGGCAUUGUUGGUUCAACUCCAACCCCGUCCACCA